This is a non-coding RNA of Parasteatoda tepidariorum (common house spider), 379 nucleotides long. The record is from RefSeq and is a predicted model, not a curated record. NCBI's taxonomy places the organism in Eukaryota, Metazoa, Arthropoda, Arachnida, Araneae, Theridiidae.
UGAUAAUGUAAUCUUAUUUUAGUUCAAAGUUGAAAGUUUGGAUUCAGUUUACGUUUUAGCUAAAAGUCAGUACGAGUGUGGUAUUUAUCAAGCUGCUACAGAGUAUCUAUAUCUUUAUCGCUUACUGGUACCCUCCUCGGAUAAGAAUUAUUUGAAUGCAAUGUGGGGCCAGCUGGCUGCAGAAAUUCUCAUGCAAAACUGGGAUGCAGCUUUGGAUGAUUUCAAUCGCCUUAAGGAAUAUAUUGAUACAAGUUCAUUUGGUUCUCCUCUAAUAACAUUGAUGCAGAGAACUUGGUUGAUCCAUUGGAGCCUUUUUGUGUUCUUCAAUCACCCAAAGGGUCAAGAUCUAAUUAUUGAUACACUUCUUUUCCAAAAAGAG